RNAcentral lists this ribosomal RNA (497 nucleotides) under uncultured bacterium. Its description in RNAcentral is "partial 16S ribosomal RNA". It matches the Rfam family "Bacterial small subunit ribosomal RNA", at positions 28 to 507 of the family's 1533-position model. The record is from RNAcentral.
GAUGAACGCUGGCGGCGUGCCUAAUACAUGCAAGUCGAGCGAACAGACGAGGAGCUUGCUCCUCUGACGUUAGCGGCGGACGGGUGAGUAACACGUGGAUAACCUACCUAUAAGACUGGGAUAACUUCGGGAAACCGGAGCUAAUACCGGAUAAUAUAUUUAACCGCAUGGUUCAAUAGUGAAAGACGGUUUUGCUGUCACUUAUAGAUGGAUCCGCGCCGCAUUAGCUAGUUGGUAAGGUAACGGCUUACCAAGGCAACGAUGAGUAGCCGACCUGAGAGGGUGAUCGGCCACACUGGAACUGAGACACGGUCCAGACUCCUACGGGAGGCAGAGGUAGGGAAUCUUCCGCAAUGGGCGAAGGCCUGACGGAGCAACGCCGCGUGAGUGAUGAGGGUCUUCGGAUCGUAAAACUCUGUUAUUAGGGAAGAACAAAUGUGUAAGUAACUAUGCACGUCUUGACGGUACCUAAUCAGAAAGCGACGGCUAACUACGUG